Molecule: small RNA, 164 nt
Filed under: Propithecus coquereli (Coquerel's sifaka)
Lineage: Eukaryota; Metazoa; Chordata; Mammalia; Primates; Indriidae
Description: 7SK RNA (ENSPCOG00000009140.1)
Rfam family: 7SK RNA
About the family: 7SK was discovered as an abundant small nuclear RNA in the mid-70s but a possible function has only recently been suggested.
Source: RNAcentral
UCCCUCCCAAAGCUACACGGUUGUCGAAGAAAGGAUAACCUUCCCCAAGAUAGAGGAGGACUGUUCUUUGGUCAAGGGUAGACGAGUAGGUGUGCUCCCCUGCUAGAACCUCCAAACAAGCUCUCAUAUUCUACGACAUUCACUUAUAGCUGUGGUCCUCAAUC